AUGCAGGUAUGAUUACAACAUGACUGGAGUGUUUGUUGUGAUUCCUUCCUCAGAGCGCUUGACACAUUACCAUCUCGGGUCCGCUCUGGGCUACAGUAAGAGAGAUGAUCGAUUUCAAAAUU
RNAcentral lists this small nucleolar RNA (122 nucleotides) under Microtus ochrogaster (prairie vole). Its description in RNAcentral is "Small nucleolar RNA SNORA63 (ENSMOCG00000011757.1)". The record is from RNAcentral. Lineage: Eukaryota; Metazoa; Chordata; Mammalia; Rodentia; Cricetidae.